Molecule: ribosomal RNA, 790 nt
Filed under: uncultured Desulfobacterales bacterium
Lineage: Bacteria; Pseudomonadati; Thermodesulfobacteriota; Desulfobacteria; Desulfobacterales
Description: bacterial SSU rRNA
Rfam family: Bacterial small subunit ribosomal RNA
Source: RNAcentral
UGCAAGUCGUACGAGAACUCUUCUGCUUGCAGAAGAUAGUAAAGUGGCGCACGGGUGAGUAACGCGUGGGUAAUCUACCUCCGAAUCUGGGAUAACCCGCCGAAAGGCGAGCUAAUACCGGAUAAUAUCUUUAAACUUCGGUUUUUAAGAUCAAAGGUGGUCUCUACAUGUAAGCUACUGUUUGGAGAUGAGCCCGCGUACCAUUAGCUUGUUGGUAGGGUAAUGGCCUACCAAGGCCGCGAUGGUUAGCUGGUCUGAGAGGAUGAUCAGCCACACUGGAACUGACACACGGUCCAGACUCCUACGGGAGGCAGCAGUGAGGAAUUUUGCGCAAUGGGGGAAACCCUGACGCAGCAACGCCGCGUGAGUGAUGAAGGCUUUCGGGUCGUAAAGCUCUGUCAAGUGGGAAGAACCUGCUGGAUGCUAAUAUCAUCCGGCACUGACGGUACCACUAAAGGAAGCACCGGCUAACUCCGUGCCAGCAGCCGCGGUAAUACGGGGGGUGCAAGCGUUAUUCGGAAUUAUUGGGCGUAAAGGGCGCGUAGGCGGUCUCUAAAGUCAGAUGUGAAAGCCCGGGGCUUAACCCCGGAAGUGCAUUUGAAACUUAGGGACUUGAGUAUGGGAGAGGGAAGUGGAAUUCCUGGUGUAGCGGUGAAAUGCGUAGAUAUCAGGAGGAACACCAGUGGCGAAGGCGACUUCCUGGACCAAUACUGACGCUGAGGCGCGAAGGCGUGGGGAGCAAACAGGAUUAGAUACCCUGGUAGUCCACGCAGUAAACGGUGAACACUAG